RNAcentral lists this ribosomal RNA (267 nucleotides) under Triticum aestivum (bread wheat). RNAcentral's name for it is "partial small subunit ribosomal RNA". The record is from RNAcentral. Lineage: Eukaryota; Viridiplantae; Streptophyta; Magnoliopsida; Poales; Poaceae.
CUGGCAGGUCCUAAUUUUAAGUGGAUCUGGAAAGCUAGUAUUCCAUUGAAGAUUAAAAUCUUUCUAUGGCAGCUAUUUCAAAAUGUUGUGCUUACGCGGGAUAAUUUGCGGAAGAGGAAUUGGCCCGGGAAUCCUGUUUGCUCUUUCUGUACUAAUAUGGAAAAUGCAAAUCAUCUAUUCUUUACAUGUCCACUAGCUCGAACGGUCUGGGAGACCUUGGGAAUUACGGCUGGGGCUUCCUGCUGUCCCCGGUCUUUGUGGCAGUGA